Molecule: ribosomal RNA, 491 nt
Filed under: uncultured bacterium
Lineage: Bacteria
Description: bacterial SSU rRNA
Rfam family: Bacterial small subunit ribosomal RNA
Source: RNAcentral
GAUGAACGCUAGCGGCAGGCCUAACACAUGCAAGUCGAGGGGCAGCAUGGCGUAGCGAUACGCUGAUGGCGACCGGCGCACGGGUGCGUAACGCGUAUGCAACCUGUCCGGCGUAGGGGGGUAGCCCGUCGAAAGGCGGGGUAAUCCCGCAUGAACCGGUAUUCCCGCAUGGGGGUGCCGGCAAAGUGGAGACGCGGGGCCGGAGGGGCAUGCGUGCCAUUAGCUGGCUGGUGGGGUAACGGCCCACCAGGGCGAUGAUGGCUAGGGGGUCUGAGAGGAUGGUCCCCCACACUGGUACUGAGACACGGACCAGACUCCUACGGGAGGCAGCAGUCGAGAAUAGUCUACAAUGGCCGAAAGGCUGAUAGUGCGACGCCGCGUGAACGAAGAAGCCCUUCGGGGUGUAAAGUUCUUUUAUAUGUGAGCAGUGCUUUUCAUGUUAACAGCAUGGGGAGAGAGAUAUUAGCAAUAUGAAUAAGCAACGGCUAACU